GGUCGACCCGCUGAACUUAAGCAUAUCAAUAAGCGGAGGAAAAGAAACUAACAAGGAUUCCCUCAGUAACGGCGAGUGAACAGGGAUCAGCCCAGAACCGAAGCCUGUGCCGUAAGGUACUAGGCAAUGUGGUGUUCGCCCCGGUUUUACCGAUUGGUUGGAUCUGCUUUAAAUCCACGUGAUUGUGGUUUCUAGCCCAUAGAGGGUGUAAGGCCCGUCAAAGCAGUACAACCUUUCAAUAAUCGGUGGCUCGAGUCGGUUAGCUUGGAAGUGCUGACCUAAUAGGGUGGUAAACUCCAUCCAAGGCUAAAUACAGCACGAUUCCCAUAGUGAACAAGUACCAUGAGGGAAAGUUGAAAAGAACUUUGAAGAGAGAGUUCAACAGUGCGUGAAACCGCUCAAGGGCAAACGGGAAACGCUGAGGUAGAGAAAUGGUAUUUGUAUUUCACUCUACUUAUCCUAAUAGUGCGGAGUCUUAUUGCUCGGCUGUUGGGGUGCAGUGGGGUGUUGUGCUCUUGCCGUUCUCGACACCACGAUCAGUAAAUAGGCGGGUCUGUCAUGGUUUGUUGGUAGCUUGAUUUAUUUCAAGUGUUAAGCCUUCCAUACAGCACUUGCUGAGUACUGUUAUGCGAUGCAAGUCAUUGUGACGCACAAGGUUGUUCGAUUUGUGAUGUUGCUUUGACAACUCAUUUAAGAGAUGUCUUAGUAUUCAGAGCCUUUUGAUCAUCCCUCUGUGUGUUGCAUCACAAUCCGUGGUGAUAUAGUAGGCAUGUUUCCUGUCCCGUCUUGAAACACGGACCAAGGAGUGUAACUUGUACGCGAGUCAUGAGGUAUUACGAAACCUAAAGGCGUAUUGAAAGAAAAGGCUUGCUUUAUACAAGCUUUGGAGAGAUCCUGGUUCUGAGGGGCUUUAUGCACCCAGGCUAGGCGCAUCUCCGGCUCGUCCCAUGCUUUUCAAGCGGGGCGAAGCAAGAGCGUACAUGUUGCGACCCGAAAGAUGGUGAACUAUGCAUGAGUAGGCUGAAGCCAGGGGAAACUCUGGUGGAGGGCCGUAGCAAUUCUGACGUGCAAAUCGAUUGUCGAACUUGUGCAUAGGGGCGAAAGACUAAUCGAACCAUCUAGUAGCUGGUUCCCCCCGAAGUUUCCCUCAGGAUAGCUGGCACUCGCUUUAAACAGUUUUAUCCGGUAAAGCGAAUGAUUAGCAGUAUUGGGGAAGAAAAUUCCUCAACUGAUUCUCAAACUUUAAAUGGGUGAGAAGCUUAGCUCUCUUUAUUGGAGCUGGGCAUUGAAUGAGAGUGCCAAGUGGGCCAUUUUUGGUAAGCAGAACUGGCGCUGCGGGAUGAACCGAACGUCUGGUUACGGAGCCAAACAUAACGCUCAUGAGACACCACAAAAGAUGUUGGUUGAUUUUGACAGCAGGACGGUGGCCAUGGAAGUCGGAAUCCGCUAAGGAGUGUGUAACAACUCACCUGCCGAAUCAACCAGCUCUGAAAAUGGAUGGCGCUGGAGCGUUGGUCCUAUACCAGACCGUUACUGCGAAAUGUAUGCAGUAACGAGUAGGGGGGCGCCGUGGUGAGCAUAGAAGCCUAGGCCGUGAGGCUGGGUGGAGCCGCCACGGGUGCAGAUCUUGGUGGUAGUAGCAAAUAUUCAAGUGAGAACCUUGAAGACUGAAGUGGAGAAGGGUUC
RNAcentral lists this ribosomal RNA (1686 nucleotides) under Duplacrorhynchus megalophallus. RNAcentral's name for it is "eukaryotic LSU rRNA". It matches the Rfam family "Eukaryotic large subunit ribosomal RNA", at positions 23 to 1509 of the family's 3401-position model. The record is from RNAcentral. Lineage: Eukaryota; Metazoa; Platyhelminthes; Rhabdocoela; Polycystididae.